AUUUAUAUAGUUUAAAAAACACUCCAUUUUCAAUGGAGAGAUAAGAUAAUUUUCUUUAUAAA
Molecule: transfer RNA, 62 nt
Filed under: Tuxedo drakei
Lineage: Eukaryota; Metazoa; Arthropoda; Insecta; Hemiptera; Miridae
Description: tRNA-Glu
Rfam family: tRNA
About the family: Transfer RNA (tRNA) molecules are approximately 80 nucleotides in length.
Source: RNAcentral